RNAcentral lists this ribosomal RNA (442 nucleotides) under Leptestheria mayeti. RNAcentral describes it as "partial large subunit ribosomal RNA". It matches the Rfam family "Bacterial large subunit ribosomal RNA", at positions 1933 to 2589 of the family's 2925-position model. Lineage: Eukaryota; Metazoa; Arthropoda; Branchiopoda; Diplostraca; Leptestheriidae. The record is from RNAcentral.
GCGGUAUUCUGACCGUGCGAAGGUAGCAUAAUCAUUAGUCUCUUAAUUAGAGGCUGGAAUGAAUGGUUAAACGAGAAAAUAACUGUCUCUCAUACAAAAUUUGAAUUUCAUUUUUAAGUGAAAAAGCUUAAAUAUAUUUGAAGGACGAUAAGACCCUAUAGAGCUUUACUUCAAUAAAAUACAAACAACCUAGAAAUUAUAACUAUUAUUUAGUAGAAGUUCCGUUGGGGCGACGACAAGACAACAAAUAACUCUUUAUUUUUUAAACAAUUAAAAUUGAUAUAAUUGAUCCUUAAAGAAAGAUCAAAUGAACAAGUUACCUUAGGGAUAACAGCGUAAUCCUUUUUGAGAGUUCUCAUCAACAAAAGGGUUUGCGACCUCGAUGUUGGAUUAAGAGUUCACCAAGGUGCAGCAGCUUUGGUAGAUGGUCUGUUCGACCUUU